UGAAGAGAUUGGCUAUUUCAACCACAGGCUGCUACUGACCACUUGAAAGAGUGAAACCGGCCAUUAUGACCUCCUGCUGAUGUGGACCACCUGAAGAAGGAUGUCCAACUGAAAGAGAGGGACUCUGGCACCCAUGUCCUUACAGUUCCAAGUCCUUUAAUGGGAGUGGUACCCUCUUGUACCCUGGACCAGGUAGGUGUUACUCUUCCUUACUCUCCCAUCCCCUCAGAUGCGAAUCUUAUUUCUCCUCAGCCAGCCAACCAGUCCCCACCAGCCACCAAUGAUGUGUGGGCAUUGUCAGACUGCCCUCUAACUCCUUCUCUUGGCUGUCAUUGGGAGCGUGUCUCUCUGUUGUGUCUGCCUGUCGCCUGUCAGUCAUUCCUGUGAUGAAUGGGAGCCAUUGAAGACUGCCGCUGCUGAGACUGAGAGAAAGCAUCAAAGUGCCAACUUGAGAAGUGUUGUCAAUAUUCUCACAAAGAGCCAUGAAAAACUAAAACAAAAAUGGAACAUUCCUAAAACCAAAAUCAAAACUAAAUGUAAACUAAGAUAUUACCCCCUUCACAUUCCAAUAUCAUAUUGAUGGGAAACUGGAUUUUUUUGCUUUCUUCUUACCCUCUCCCCAACGUAUUUUGUCCAAUGGUCACUUUCUCUUCCAAACCAAUUUUUCAGCAAACUUAUACUGAAUAAAGCCCUGAUUCAACUGUCUUCACCCCAGAGGAAAUAAUCAAUCCCAAUAUCAUAUACUAGUAGAAAGUGCUAUUUUUCUAGGGGGGAAAGUGCUGGAAAUCACAAUGAACAUCUCCCUUAUUCUCUUAUAAUGGCAAUGGUGCCCACCUGAGAGGUGCUGGAACUGAGUUCUGGUGAGUUCCUGCUGACAAAAAGCCCUGCUAGUAUAUUAUAUACAAGUUGAUGAGGCUGUAAGAAAGAAGCCUUUUUAGUACGGUUUUAACAAAGUUUAUCAUUGCUAUUACUAUCUUUUUCAUCAGUGAAAACAAAUUCCCAUGUAUAUUUUAGAAGUUAUUCUCUAUUUUCUUUAUAUUAUACAUGUUUAGAUAUGGAUAUUUCAAUGCUAACCUUUUGGAUGCCAAAAUCUGCUCCAAUCCACACAGGAAUUGGACUACCACUCUAUUGAGAAUAUGAAUACAUACACUGUGAAAAAACGAUAUAUAAUGAAUUUUGAUAUUCAUUUCUGUUGAUUUGGGUUACAUCAUUCCAGCGUUGGGACUUUGACUGAUAGCAUGACUCAGGCCAGAAUGAUUUUCUUAACAUAAUAGAUUUUAUUCCUUCUUUAUUCCCCAGGUGUUUGUUCUUGGAAGAGCCUGGGAGUGUUGUGGCCAAAACAAAUCAGGGUUAUUAAGAACGUGGUUUUUGGAUUAUCAUGAGAAAAAUCUAUAGCUAUAGCAAGUAAGUGGGCAGAUAUGGUUAAAUAAACUAUACUUAUUCCUAUAGUUUAUCAUUCAUGCAUAGUUUUAUGUACAUGCACAACGUUUCACCCCCACAGAAUAAUUCUUUUAGCUAAAUUGCUAAUGUUUCCAUUUUACAAUUGGGAAAAUGGGGUUUCCGGACCACACAAUAGGCCAGUGGCAUGGUGGAGACUUCAGCUCAGCCAAUCUAGUCCAGAUAUUUAUUUUCUGGAGCAUACUGGCUAAUUAUAGAUUGGCCCAUCUCAACAUGCGUGUUUCACUGAUGGCAAGAGGAGCUAGUCUAAAAUAUGUAUGCCUAAGUUUGUGGCCUAAAUCUGAUAGCAAAGAGAUUGUUGAUAACAAUACACCAUCAAUUAUAAAGCACAACCCGGUUUAUUAGAUACUCAAGGGAUUUUAAAGCAAUAAUUUGUUUUCAUGGAACUACACUGAAGCCAAAGUAAAUGUGGCCAUAAGGUGCUUCCAAAAACCAAGGUUCAAGCUUUGCUGCCAUGGUUAAACAACGGUCGUAAGAAAUCAAGCAACAGCCCAAGCUAUUUUGAGGGCUGAAGCAAUGACCAAAUGGUUCAACUCCCUUGCUAGGGCCAUUUAGAAAAGUCUUGCUAUACCAUUCAGAUACCAAUUCCUGCUUUCAUCAAUCCUCACCACCGCCCCAACCCAUGUAGCCUAGGAUUACCAGUCUUCCCCGGUUCCUGGGGAUAGUCCCCGGAUUUGCAAAUCUGUCCCCAGACAAAUUCCGUCCCGGGAAUGUCCCCAGAUUUGCAAAUCUGUCCCUGGGAAAUGUGGCAGUGGCAGCCUCAGCAGCCUGGAGCCAGCCUGGUAGCACAGUUGGCUCUGGCUGGCUUCAGGAGCUGCUUGCUGCCCACUGCCGCCGCCACUGCCAAGGAAGAACCAGGGGCAUCCAGCGAUACAGAUCUCCUGCCCCCUUCUCCCUUUCUUUUGACAGAUCAGGGAGGCUCGGGAGUUGUGGGCGGGCGGCCAUUGCCCAGGAGGGGCGCUAGGUGUGUGGUUUCUCUGCCAGGCAAGGGGCAAAGCCCUUCUUUCGCACCCUGUGAAACAUAAAUGCGCAGAGUUUUUUAAAAACUGGGCAACGGCCACCCACCCGCGACUCCCAAGCCUCCCCCGAUCAGUCAAAACAAAGGGGAAAGGGGGCAGGAGAUCGGGGGAGGCUCAGGAGUUAUGGGCGGGCAGUGCGCCGUUGCCCAGUUUUUUAAAAACUCAGAGCAUUUAUGUUUCACAGGGUGCGAGAGAAGGGCUUUGCACCUUUAUACAAUAUGAAUGUGUGCUUAGGCCCAAUCGGAAGCCACGGAAGUCCUGUCAGACGUUCGGCUUCCAAAAAUAAUUUGCAAACCGGAACAGUCACUUCCGGGUUUGUGGCGUUCGAGAGCCAAAGCGUUCGAGAACUAAGCUGUUUGAAAACCAAGGUAUGACUUUACUCAUAAUUACUGUCAGGUCAAUAACUUACAACUGAGUAGCCAGCUCUCCUUGCCUGUCUAGACUGUGUACCACACUAAUAAACCCCCAAGAAACUCAGUGCUACCUGGCAUGGAAAAAUCUCAUCUCACAACAGCACAGAAGACAACCUGCCUCCUUGCCACUCCUGGCAUCUUCCAUGGACAGAAAGAUGCUUUUACACUGGCAUUCAGUAUGCUUUGAAGACCCAAGGCUGUGGUGGUUUCAGAUGAUCACGUAAUAGAGAGCAAUCUUGAGCAGGCAGUCAUACUUCGCAGCACAGAUAGGGAUGUGAAAAAUCUUCAUUUAGGAAGGAUCGUUUUUAUUUAGCAAGAGACAGAAACCUCUGUCUCUGGUGCCACACAACAUUAAACAUACUCUGGUGAGUAUGCUUCUGAGCUGGACAGCCAAACAUCAAGCAAAAUGCUGUUGUAUUAUGGACAUCCAAUCCAUAGCUUGUGGCUGGCUGUCCUUAAAAGAGCUGUUUUAAGUCUUGCAAGAUUUGCAUGCAUGGAAAAAAUAGCAACAGUCAAAGAACACACACAUAUCAACAGCCACUGACCUCAACCUCAGUUUACUGGAUUGGGCAACUGAGUAAAGGAAAACACAGAAGCCUUUCUGUGAUUGGAGGAAAGCAGGGCAAAAAGUUAUCUUACGACUGUGAUAUUCGGCUUCCAGUGGACACAGAAACUUGACACGAAUCAAAUGCCCAACUGGCUGAUAAUAGACAGGAAGGAUUAGUGUUGACACAGCAGACCUGACCCCUUCCAGCCAUGUAACUGUGCCUGAAUACAGCUGUGUCUGCCUGAAAUCACCCCCCAGGCAUCUGAGCAGGGGAAGCAGUAGGUAAAGAUAUAGGGAACAGGGUGCGCUGGGACACUCUCACGCCUAAUUGGACUGACAGCUCAGUCUGCAAUGGCGGACAGUGUUUAUUUACUCAUUGUUGCGUGAUGAGCAAAUAGAAAGAUAUGCCGGCUUUAGUCCAUGCUGAUAUUGGUCCAAAUGCUGUCUGGCUCCAGACUCAGUAAACCAGGACAAUGCAGCACAAAAAACUUCCUAUUCGCCAUCACUUUUAAGUCUGUCCUGGCACAGAUAUGCAAUGACCUCAGAUCACAGUUGAGUCUAAUAAGGAAUUUAUCUUUAUGGAAAUGUGACCUCUUGCUACCAUAAGGCUACACAAAUACAAGUAACAAUGGCCGAACGCUGAUAAAAGUUUGCCCCGGCCAACUCCUGAUGUAUUUUCUAAAGAGUUCUAUAAUUCUAUAAUCCCUCUAGUGGAAAGAGUGGGACUUGAUAAAGGGUGCCGGUUGAAGCUUUUCACAAGGUUGUCACUGUCGGCCGUCCUCCCUCCCGCCCCACAACGACAACUAAAGAAUGUGCAAUGAGCACAAUCUAGUUCCCUUGAAGGGAGCGAGAGUUUAGCCAUUGACUCCAGGGGUCUAGUGAGCAUUUCUUCCCCGCUGUGCGACUGUGGUUCAAUUUCACUUUCCUUUUCUGAAACCAGAAGAUAUACCUCUUGACAAUCUAAAAUCGCCAAGGUCACAUGCAUGCACAGCAACAUACUUUUAGUGAAUUUUAAGUUGUAAAUGCCUUUCUCUCUCUUCCUUACCCAAAACAAGGGGGCCUGUGGGGUUGGGGUUUCUGUUCCGAUAUUAGAAGUUCAUACCACUAAUAUACUCAAGGUAUCCGCUCUUAAUCUUCAACUUCUCUGAGUUUUAUUGGCACUAGCUUUUAGUCCUGCUUUAAUAACUUCAGCCUUCUUUUGCCCCCAGCCAUAUUUUAAUGAAUAAAUAGUUUUUCUUGUGAUUUAGUUGCAUUUAUACAGCUGCCCCUGAAACAGCUGCACUGACUUUUAUUACAAGCAGAAAGGACUGCACCAUAAUCAGUAGUACGCGCAUGCAGAAUGGCUAGCAACGUUUUUGUGGAAUAUUUUCGAACAACAAAAUUGGGUGCUGCUGAAGUGUUUUUCUUUAAUCAUCUAGUCCAAAUAUAACAGAUUAAGCUACAGUCUUCAUAGAUAUUGAUCCAGAACCUCUCAGGACAGGAUCCUGAUUUUGACCUUGGAAGGGAGAUGCCAUAAUAAUUAGUCACUUUAACGAUUACAGCAGAUAUUGGCCAGGUGGAUGCCUAUGCAAUCUUCUACCACGGGCUGAAUCAUUCAGAGGAAGAGACUGAAUCUGAUGUAGUGGUAUAUUAUUAAGGAAUCAGGUCAUGUAGUUUCAUGCUCAGUUUUGGAUAGAAAUGUGCUUAAUUAUUUCAUUCAUAUCCCACAUUUUUUCCCACAGAGCUGAAGUGUUUCCAGGUAGUUUUCCAUUGAGGCAGACACCGAAAGUCUCUAGACUUUCCGAGCACAAUUCAAAGUGUUGGUGCUGACCUUUAAAGCCCUAAAUGGCCUCGGUCCUGUAUACCUGAAGGAGUGUCUCCACCCCCAUCGUUCAGCCCAGACACUGAGAUCCAGCGCCGAGGGCCUUCUGGCAGUUCCCUCAUUGCGAGAAGUAAGGUUACAGGGAACCAGACAGAGGGCCUUCUCGGUAGUGGCGCCCACCCCAUGGAACACCCUCCCUUCAGAUGUGAAGGAAAUAAGCAGCUAUCCUAUCUUUAAAAGACAUCUGAAGGCAGCCCUGUUCAGGGAAGUUUUUAAUAUUUAACGCUGUACUGUUUUUAACACUUGAUUGGGAGCUGCCCAGAGUGGCUGGGGAAACUCAGCCAGAUGGGCGGGGUAUAAAUAAAUUAUUAUUAUUAUUAUUAUUAUUAUUAUUAUUAUUAUUAUUAUUGACGUGUUUAGUUUCUGCUGCAUCGUGUGCCUUCACACCAUGCUUUUAAAAAAAAUGAAAUUGAAGAGAAUUUGUGAGGGAUUGAAUGCAAACCUAAACCAAAAUACUAGGGCAGGCUUAGGCAAACUCGGUCCUCCAGAUGUUUUGGGACUACAAUUCCCAUCAUCCCUGACCACUGGUCCUGUUAGCUAGGGAUGAUGGGAGUUGUAGUCCCAAAAUAUCUGGAGGGCCAAGUUUGCCUAUGCCUGUACUAGGGAGUAAGUCCCAUUCAACUUAGUGGAACUAACUUCUCUGAGUAAAGGUACUGCAUGUGUCCAUUAAAGCAGAAGGGAGAACCUGCCAUUCUCCAGAUGUGCUGCAGUACAGCUUCCAUCAUCUCUAACCAGUGGCAACAACAACAGUAAUAACACAUAAAUUACUCACCCUUCACCCUAAGGUCCCCGGGUGAGUUACAUUAAGGCACAUUAUGAAAGAAAUCACAAAAUCACAAAAGUAAGGUGAGUCCUAAAUGUAUAUCGUAAUAACAACAGCAUCCGUAAAACCACAGGUUUCCUGUCUUAACAUUAAAGAAUUUCAAAGGUUAUUUGACAAAGAGGAAAAGAGACCAGUGGCGUAGCGUGGGGGGUGCAGGGGGGGCCUGCCGCACCGGGCGCAACAUCUGGGGGGGCGCGCUCGCACUCGCAGCUCUCUACCCCUACCUGGCUCACUCACUCUCUCUCACUGCAGUGCUGGCUGUGCGAAUCCGAUCCGAGCCGCUGGGUCGCCGCCCACUGUGGAGGGGGUGGGUGCCAGGCGUGUGGUGCGGAGAGAGAGCGAGGGACUAUCUGGGGGAGGGACAGUGCAGCGGCCGCCCAGCGCAGCGCUGAGCGCGGGGAGAGAACCACACCAGACCAGACCAGGCAGCAGCAAGAAGAAGCUGGCAGCGGCGGCAGGUUAGGGGUUAGGGGGCGCAAAUUACUUGCCUUGCCCCGGGUGCUGACAACCCACGCUACACCGCUGAAAGAGACUUAUAUGUUCAGCACCAUUUCAGUACUUAUUUCCCAAAACAGAUUCAGCAGCCAAACGAACCAGGAAAGAAGUGAUUCAAACUUCUGCAAAACUUGCAAUUCCAAAAGGAAACAAAAGUUGUACUCUGGAAGAUGUACAAAACCACUGUCCAGACUGGGAACUGGGCAAUGAGUCUGCCUGAGGCAGAUAAUAAGAUACAAGCCACUGAACUUCCACAUAUAUGUCUACUGGAAAGAGGCAACUCCAGGCACUAAACAAGGCUCUGGGGUUUCAAUAAAAUAUAUAUAUCUGAGGAUUCUGCUGACAAGUACAGUUCCCAAGGUUGAGUAAUCAAGUUCAUUGGGAAGACACAAGGUGACUUACAAUUGAAUCUCUUCUUCUGAUUAGAGGCAAGUCAGGAUGCUUUAAUGUCAGGGACGGGAAAAGAGAGUCCAAUGCUCCUUCAUACUGUGGGAGAUUAGCAGCCAAACCUAACAAAGGCAUAUUUUUGCUAGUUAGCACAAGAAGGCACUAAUUCCACAGAGCUGUAUCGCGGACAGGCAGGUACUUAGACCAUAGAAAUACAGUUGGUAGAGAGGGUCCUGUGUGAUGUCAUUUCCUCUCCUGUCCUCUCCUGGAAAGGAAGGAGCAUGUAGUAUUUUCUGCUUCUCCCUUCCUUUGAUUAGCGUUGGAUGCAGACAUGUCUCUGCUUGUUUCAGCUUUAGGCACUUAUACUGUAAAUAUAAGUACUUUGCCUGCAUAGUUUUUACUGCUACCUUUGCUGUGCACCAAUGCAUGAUAAUAAGUAAAUAAAUAUUUUCUUGUAAAAAAAUAAUAAUGAUCUUGUCGCCUUCAGAGACAAGAUCACUGGCACAGGAGUAUUGCUUCUGAGGGAGUUGGGGGUGGGGUGGGUGUUCCUAUCUUCAUUUUGUGAUCAUUGCAAGCAGCGACACAACUCCUCAAGGCUUUGCAAGUUGUUACAAGGAACAGACAUAAAACCCAGAUGUUUUCUGAGGCAAGCAAGGGUUGUUAAUCCAUCUCUAAUGGCUGGCCAGUGUUACAUCUUAUGAAUAGCGACAGUUGACUAGCAAGGCACAGCUAUUUCUUGAGGUAUAAAGUAUUAUUUCAUAUGCAGUGUGUUUCAUGUGCAGUUUUCAAUUCCUUUGGUUCAUGCAUGUCUUCCAAUGUGCAUGUCUACACUGACAAAGCACUGCAAAAAAGGGAAAGGAAAAAGAAGUAUUGGUGUAGGUUGCCAUAUUUCAUAAAGUUAAAAUCCAGACACACAAGAUGUUGACCUUUUUUCAGUGUUGCCCAAAACUGUGUUUUGCUUCGCCAAAAACUACUCUUCUGACAUGGGUUUCCCUGGACAUUGCAGAGAUUUCUGCCCAGACACUGUUUCCAACAGCUGGAUACCAGCUAUAUCUGGGAAAUUCCGGAUGUAUGGCAACCCUAGGUGUGGUCAUACAUAUUGUAAAUGGCAUUUCUGGGGGCUCCGUCACGGUGUCCCAUUGUGCCAGAAGCAGUUUAGGCAUGCUGGCCACAUGACCUGGAAAGCUGUCUGUGGACAAACGCUGACUCCCUUGGCCUGAAAGCAAGAUGAGCGCCACAACCCCAUAGUCACCUUUGACUGGACAACUGUCCAGGGGUCUUCUACCUUUUACCUUUACAUAUUGUUAUAGGAUUGAAACUGAGCUGGAAGUUGUCUCUGGCUGCCACGAGGGUUCCUGGGGCAAGGCGGCAGGUUUGGACACCAUUUGGACACCAAACACCAUUUUGAAUCAAGAUGACAGAGCAAUAUAUCAAUUUGGUGUGACUUUGCCCAUUUUUUUUACAUAAGUAUGGCUGCCUCUUGAGAUAUUGUCACCAAACAUGGCGCAAAAGUUCCAUUUAUGUUUGUAUGUGCCAUUUUGAAUUAAGCUGGUGGACCAAAAUGUGACAUUGGAUUGACUUCACCUUAUUUUGGCCAUGACAGGUCCAAACUCACAACCCAUUCAAAAAUCUCAAUAAUUUUUGGUUUCUAAAAAUAUCCAGGCAUUGCUGGACACUCCCUGUUAAUGUAUAAAUAAACCUUGCAUCACAGAAAAUGUUAUCCAUCUUUUUAUUCCUAC
Non-coding RNA from Podarcis lilfordi (Lilford's wall lizard), 8742 nucleotides. Lineage: Eukaryota; Metazoa; Chordata; Lepidosauria; Squamata; Lacertidae. The record is from the annotation of a GenBank genome assembly.